GCCCAGAUAGCUCAGUCGGUAGAGCAGGGGACUGAAAAUCCCCGUGUCGGUGGUUCGAUUCUGCCUCUGGGCACCA
RNAcentral lists this transfer RNA (76 nucleotides) under Clostridioides difficile. RNAcentral describes it as "tRNA-Phe". It matches the Rfam family "tRNA". Rfam says of the family: Transfer RNA (tRNA) molecules are approximately 80 nucleotides in length. Their secondary structure includes four short double-helical elements and three loops (D, anti-codon, and T loops). The record is from RNAcentral. Lineage: Bacteria; Bacillati; Bacillota; Clostridia; Peptostreptococcales; Peptostreptococcaceae.